GACGCUCUCCCCAAGGACGAAGCCAUGCAUGCCCGCUCACCCGGGACGCGGCGGACGGCUCAGGACGACGGUUGCACCCCCCGCGGCGGUCCCUGCUAGCCGGACACCGCUGGCAACCCGGCGCCAAGACGUGCGCGCAAGGGCGGGCGCCCGCGGGCGAGCAGCGUGACGCAGMGACGGCCCGCCCGGGCUUCCGGGGCAUCAUCCGGUC
RNAcentral lists this ribosomal RNA (211 nucleotides) under Giardia duodenalis. RNAcentral describes it as "Giardia intestinalis partial small subunit ribosomal RNA". The record is from RNAcentral. Lineage: Eukaryota; Fornicata; Diplomonadida; Hexamitidae.